Molecule: long non-coding RNA, 201 nt
Filed under: Hordeum vulgare
Lineage: Eukaryota; Viridiplantae; Streptophyta; Magnoliopsida; Poales; Poaceae
Description: long non-coding RNA (HVUL_LNC020405)
Source: RNAcentral
CGGUCCGCGCCGACGAACCUCGUCUUGAGGCUCGCCCACAGCUCCGCCGCCGUCUUCUUCGACGACACCUGCAGCAGGAUGUCUUCAGAGAGCGCUCCGAGGAGGUAUGCCCUCGCCGGCUUGUCCUUCUUCGCGAUGACCGCCGCCGCCGAGUCCUUCGCCGGAACCACCGCUUCCCACAGCCCUUGCGCGUCGAGGUUC